GACGAACGCUGGCGGCGUGCCUAAUACAUGCAAGUUGAGCGCUGAAGGUUGGUGCUUGUACCUCCUGGAUGAGCAGCGAACGGGUGAGUAACGCGUGGGUAAUCUGCCUUUGAGCGUGGGAUAACUUUUGGAAACGAAUGCUAAUACCGCAUAAUAUCUUUAACCACAUGUUUUAAUUUUGAAAGAUGCUUUUGCUUUACUCAAUGAUGAUCUCGCGUUGUAUUUGGUAGUUGGUGAGGUAAAGGCUCACCAAGGCGAUGAUACAUAGCCGACCUGAGAGGGUGAUCGGCAAAAAUGGGAAUGAGAAAAGGGCCAAAAUCCUAAGGGAAGCAGGAGUAGGGAAACCUCCGCAAUGGAGCAAAGGCUGAACGAACAACGGCGCGGGAGGGAAGAAGGUUUUCGGAUCGUAAAACUCUGGUGGUAGAGAAGAACGAAAGUGAGAGUGAAAAACGCAUGAAGUGACGGUAACUAACCAGAAAGGGACGGCUAACUACGUG
Molecule: ribosomal RNA, 497 nt
Filed under: uncultured bacterium
Lineage: Bacteria
Description: partial 16S ribosomal RNA
Rfam family: Bacterial small subunit ribosomal RNA
Source: RNAcentral